Molecule: long non-coding RNA, 325 nt
Filed under: Lathyrus oleraceus (garden pea)
Lineage: Eukaryota; Viridiplantae; Streptophyta; Magnoliopsida; Fabales; Fabaceae
Description: Pisum sativum (pea) long non-coding RNA (PSAT_LNC017809)
Source: RNAcentral
AAGGACCCAUUUCUUUCGAAUUUGUUUAGGAAAAAAGUUUAACGAGUUGAGAAAGUGGAAGAGAAAUUCGAUGUUGAUCGAGUGUUUUAUCACAUUAGUGAAAAUGGUUUGAAAUGAUAUGAGGUGCUUAUUAAAGAAAAAAAGUUUAGUGAGAUUUUGAAAAAUGUACUUGAUGUUGAUCAAAUUCCUUUUAUCUUAGUAUUUUUGAAUGAUUAAUUUUAAAGGUCAUUUUGUCUUUUUGGAUUAACAAUUAUGCAUGAACUAAAAGUACAAUAAAAUAAACUAAAAAAUAAAGCAAUAAAAAGGUAAAAAAAUAAUAAAAGAG